CUGUCGGUUCGCCGCCCGUCGGUGUCAACUGGCAUGUCCUGUGGAACGUCCUGCCGGUGGCGGACCGGGCUUUCGGCUUGCGUAAGGGCUUACGCCCGAAGCAGGCCGAACAGUACCGGCCGCCGGUCCAAUCCCGCCACGGUGCUCUUCACCGAGUGUCGAGGUGGGCCGGCACGUUUACUUUGAACAAAUUAGAGUGCUUAAAGCAGGCUGGUGUCCGCCUGAAUACUGUGUGCAUGGAAUAAUAGAAUAGGACCUCGGUUCUAUUUUGUUGGUUUUCGGAACCCGAGGUAAUGAUUAAUAGGGACAGGCGGGGGCAUUCGUAUUGCGACGUUAGAGGUGAAAUUCUUGGAUCGUCGCAAGACGAACCUAAGCGAAAGCAUUUGCCAAGUAUGUUCUCGUUAAUCAAGAACGAAAGUUAGAGGUUCGAAGGCGAUCAGAUACCGCCCUAGUUCUAACCAUAAACGAUGCCAGCCAGCGAUCCGCCGAAGUUCCUCCGAUGACUCGGCGGGCAGCUUCCGGGAAACCAAAGCUUUUGGGUUCCGGGGGAAGUAUGGUUGCAAAGCUGAAACUUAAAGGAAUUGACGGAAGGGCACCACCAGGAGUGGAGCCUGCGGCUUAAUUUGACUCAACACGGGAAACCUCACCAGGCCCGGACACCGGAAGGAUUGACAGAUUGAGAGCUCUUUCUUGAUUCGGUGGGUGGUGGUGCAUG
Molecule: ribosomal RNA, 715 nt
Filed under: Aeneolamia albofasciata
Lineage: Eukaryota; Metazoa; Arthropoda; Insecta; Hemiptera; Cercopidae
Description: SSU rRNA
Rfam family: Eukaryotic small subunit ribosomal RNA
Source: RNAcentral